AACACAUGCAAGUCGAACGAUGAUCCCAGCUUGCUGGGGGAUUAGUGGCGAACGGGUGAGUAACACGUGAGUAACCUGCCCUUGACUCUGGGAUAAGCCUGGGAAACUGGGUCUAAUACCGGAUACGACCAUCUGGCGCAUGUCAUGGUGGUGGAAAGCUUUUGUGGUUUUGGAUGGACUCGCGGCCUAUCAGCUUGUUGGUGGGGUAAUGGCCUACCAAGGCGACGACGGGUAGCCGGCCUGAGAGGGUGACCGGCCACACUGGGACUGAGACACGGCCCAGACUCCUACGGGAGGCAGCAGUGGGGAAUAUUGCACAAUGGGCGCAAGCCUGAUGCAGCGACGCCGCGUGAGGGAUGACGGCCUUCGGGUUGUAAACCUCUUUCAGUAGGGAAGAAACGUAAGUGACGGUACCUGCAGAAGAAGCGCCGGCUAACUACGUGCCAGCAGCCGCGGUAAUACGUAGGGCGCAAGCGUUAUCCGGAAUUAUUGGGCGUAAAGAGCUCGUAGGCGGUUUGUCGCGUCUGCUGUGAAAGACCGGGGCUCAACUCCGGUUCUGCAGUGGGUACGGGCAGACUAGAGUGCAGUAGGGGAGACUGGAAUUCCUGGUGUAGCGGUGAAAUGCGCAGAUAUCAGGAGGAACACCGAUGGCGAAGGCAGGUCUCUGGGCUGUAACUGACGCUGAGGAGCGAAAGCAUGGGGGAGCGAACAGGAUUAGAUACCCUGGUAGUCCAUUGCCGUAAACGUUGGGCACUAGGUGUGGGGGACAUUCCACGUUUUCCGCGCCGUAGCUAACGCAUUAAGUGCCCCCGCCUGGGGAGUACGGCCGCAAGGCUAAACUUCAAAGGAAUUGACGGGGGGCCUGCACAAAGCGGCWGGAAGCAAUGCRGGGU
This 893-nucleotide ribosomal RNA is filed under the name Paenarthrobacter nitroguajacolicus. Its description in RNAcentral is "bacterial SSU rRNA". It matches the Rfam family "Bacterial small subunit ribosomal RNA", at positions 50 to 957 of the family's 1533-position model. The record is from RNAcentral. Lineage: Bacteria; Bacillati; Actinomycetota; Actinomycetes; Micrococcales; Micrococcaceae.